This 273-nucleotide unclassified non-coding RNA is filed under the name plant metagenome. Its description in RNAcentral is "partial contains small subunit ribosomal RNA and internal transcribed spacer 1". The stretch from base 1 to 47 matches the Rfam family "Eukaryotic small subunit ribosomal RNA", at positions 1786 to 1831 of the family's 1831-position model. The record is from RNAcentral.
AAGUCGUAACAAUGGUUUCCGUAGGUGAACCUGCGGAAGGAUCAUUAAAGAAUUACCUGGACUUCCGGUCCUCGUCGAGAAAGGUCGUCCCAGGGUGGCCUCCAGGUUCCCCGGGGGCUUCCCCCCAUCUUAACCCCUUCUAAGUUUAACUCUACCUCUGUUGCUUUGGCAACAGCUCCUGCUCGGGUGGUUCCGGGCUUGGGCUCUGCCGGAGGGCCCCAAACUCGAUGGAUAAGUCUAAUGUUUGUCUGAGUACGAUAUAAUCGUUUACAA